This 999-nucleotide ribosomal RNA is filed under the name Tubificoides benedii. Its description in RNAcentral is "eukaryotic LSU rRNA". The stretch from base 478 to 630 matches the Rfam family "5.8S ribosomal RNA". Lineage: Eukaryota; Metazoa; Annelida; Clitellata; Tubificida; Naididae. The record is from RNAcentral.
UUACCGAACGAAACAUGCUAAACAUGCAUUGUUGUGAACACGUUGUCAGACACGAAGUCGACUGAGCAGAACCAGUCGCAACAUCGCGAAGGCAGACGCGAUGUUUGAAGGUUGGACACCCGUACCGACACGUUCGGUGACGAGGAGAUGACGAAGGAAAAUAGAGCAGAACUGACGAUGAUGGUAGUGACAAGCAUUGCAUACUCGUUGAAACUUCGGGGUACCUGUCGGGCUGCUGCCGACCGACCGUAUUUGUCGGCGUGGCCCGGUGAGCAGGUCGCGGGAGUUCCCCGCGGCCUUGCGAAGGUUCAAAGAAUCGCCGACCGUAUUUGCGAUCGCCCCGAAGCCAUGUCUCUUUGUCUUUUCGUACGGUUGCUAUCCGACGCCUGCCGGCCGACGGAGACCGCCCCGGUCGUCUGGGGUGGACGAAGUCGUGCCGCGAUACGGCGCUGCCCACAAUUGUGUAAAUGGUGAUACAACUCUAAGCGGUGGAUCACUCGGCUCGUGUGUCGAUGAAGAGCGCAGCCAGCUGCGUGAAGUAAUGUGAAUUGCAGGACACAUUGAACAUCGAUAUCUUGAACGCACAUUGCGGCCUCGGGUAUUCCCGAGGCCACGCCUGUCUCAGGGUCGGUUGAACUUAUCUAUCGUCGGUUGACCGUAUUUGCCGACGCAUUGGAUCGUCGCGGAGCGCUGACCGUAAAGGCGCGAUCGGCUGACCGUAUUUACCGAUCGCGCUGCGCGCCACGUCGUCCGAAGUACAGACGGGUCUGCCUAUGCUUUGCCGACCGCACGUCCUAAAUCCGCCCUUGCGGACGGGGACGGCGACUCGGACCGUAAGAGAAGCCGUCGCCUGUUGCUCUGGCGGUACGGUUGGCGAAGCGCUGGCGGACCCACGAACGAGAAGGCGGGGGUCGUCGGCGGCGAAGCGAUUCGUCGUCGUCGGCCGUCGUCACCUUCUUCUUCGACCUGAGAUCAGACGAGAUUACCCGCUGAAUUUAA